UACAAAAAAAAUUGCAAGGCUACAAGGUAUGUUUUAUUUAUCUUUUUUUUAAAAAUAUGCACAAGUCUAGCAUUGUGUAUGUCAUAUAUAGAUAUGAGGAGGAAUACAAUGCUCAUUAAAAUAAUUAUUUAAGGUGGUACCCAACACCUUAACUAAAAUUAGUUUGGCUCGUUUAAUUUUCAUAAAAUUUUGAGAAAGUAUCAACUUUGACCCUUUGACAAAAAUAUAGAAAUUUCAAAAAAUUUGAAACAAACAUUUUAUCAGAAAAAUUACAAUGGUUAUAUAGCAGUUUGACAAACACUUAUUUUGAUCAUUGAGAAGCUUAAUAUUUCCUUACUAACACAACGUAAUUAAAACGUUUAGCUGAUUUUACAGAGUUAUUUCCCUGUAGUGUUAGGUACCACCUUAAGAUAGGAAGGUGAACAACAUCUGAAAUAGACAAAAUAGAAAAUAUAUAUGAAAAUAGUUUAUUUCAAAAUUAUCUUUUAGUAGGUUCUCAGGGUUAUUAACGCAUUUGAAUGGGGACAUAUGGUUGGAACCCCCCUUUUUAAAGAUGACUGGAUCUGCACUUUAUCAUGUACCACUAAUUGCAAUAAUGUUACUGAAGAGACUGAUGUAUAAUAUAGACCAAUGCCAAGUUGUUUUUAUUUUUGAAUGCGUUGCACUGGUUACCCUGAGGUCAAUCACGAAAAUGCACAUUGGGUCUUACUGUGAUGUAUAAACAUGAUUAUAGUGACAGGAAUGUAAGGGGAAGUGCAAGAAUUUCGUCUGUUUCUCUUUUAUUAUAACAACAAAAUAAGCAAAUAAUAGGUAUACAUCUUAUCGACUUUUAAAUUAAAAUUAUUCUAUUUUGUUUUGGAAAUUUAUUUAAGAAAGUUACCAUUAACCCAAACAGCAAAUAUUGCAAAAAAAGUUAUUUAGUAUUAACUUUCUUGUACUUUAAAAAGACACUGAUUGAUAGAAUGGAUGUAAUGACCAGUCUACAUUGCAUUAAUAAUACAGAUCUUUGUCGGAUACACCAAUCAUGAGUUUCAUUUUAUGAAUGGAUUACACCAGGUGACCGAGGUCAAUAUGCCUUAAUGGUAUCAUAAAACAAUCGGUUCUAACUGUGACGAAAAAAACACAAUAGAAUUUGGCAAUCACACUACAUCUCUUUAUUUUGACAUUUCACAAUCCUCACAAUUAGUUUUUUACAUGAAGUCAAUUUGAACUUGAUUUACUAUUUCAGUUUUUGUAUAUUGAUGUCUGUGCUUCAUUGUAGUGCUGUCAAUAAUUUUUUAUUUAUUCAGAUGUAUGUUCCUUAGAUUUAA
Molecule: long non-coding RNA, 1310 nt
Filed under: Mytilus galloprovincialis (Mediterranean mussel)
Lineage: Eukaryota; Metazoa; Mollusca; Bivalvia; Mytilida; Mytilidae
Source: RNAcentral